UCCUCGAUAGCUCAGCGGUAGAGCAGCAGACUGUUAAUCUGUUGGUCCGUGGUUCGAUCCCACGUCGAGGAG
RNAcentral lists this transfer RNA (72 nucleotides) under Polynucleobacter paneuropaeus. It matches the Rfam family "tRNA". Rfam says of the family: Transfer RNA (tRNA) molecules are approximately 80 nucleotides in length. Lineage: Bacteria; Pseudomonadati; Pseudomonadota; Betaproteobacteria; Burkholderiales; Burkholderiaceae. The record is from Rfam by way of RNAcentral.